Non-coding RNA from Caretta caretta (loggerhead turtle), 3089 nucleotides. The record is from RefSeq and is a predicted model, not a curated record. NCBI's taxonomy places the organism in Eukaryota, Metazoa, Chordata, Testudines, Cheloniidae.
AUAAAUGUUUAAAGACAGUGCAUAGAUCUUGUGGAAGUGAUAUGUGAAUCAGUGUGAGGAUGGAUUGAAUACUACAGAAUAUAGCAGCAGAUCUUCAGCUGAUGUGCACUGGUGUAGCAGCAUUUCUGCAUUGCCAACUAGUGCAAUUUUGUCACAAGUCUGCAAGAGAGAAUGGGCUUUAUCUAGCAGUAACCCAUCUGAAGCUGGAAGACGGGAAAGAGAUGACGGAGGGCUAGACUUAAGAAGAUGCCAUAGUGGAAGUCAGACCACAGAUCCUCCUUCCCUACAAGAAGAUUAAAAAAUAGGGCUGGUCAAAAAUAUUCUGUCAACACUGUUUGGGGGUUUGAGUAAAAUGAAAAUUUUUUUUCCAGGGAAAACUUCAGUAAUUCAUCAAAAUCUUGAAAACUGAAAUAUUUUUAUUCAAAAUGGUGGGAAUUGUAAUGCAGAUGCCUUUUGCUUCCAUCCUCCCCCAAGCUUCAGCAUUUCUGGCCAGACUAAAACUCCCAUGAUUCAGCCAGGGUCUCAUAUAAUGUACCUCCCCCCUUCACCAAUAGGGGAGAAAGUGGUGCAUCCUGGAAGGUAUAGUUUGACAAGCGAGCUAGGCCCUUAGAGAUCAAUGGCAGCAUAAGGUACCUGAACUACAAUUCCCAUGAGGCAUGGCAGCAUCAGUUUGAAUUGAAACACCACUUUUUGGACAAAACAUUUUGCCCAAAAGUCAAAUUUUUCUGUGGGGGAAAAAAAUGCUGCUUUCCAACCAACUGAAAGAAAGAAAGAAAGAAAGAAAGAAAGAAAGAAAGAAAGAAAGAAAGAAAGAAAGAUUUCUGGGACCUGAGUAAGGCUGGGAUGGCUCAGGAGCAUGCUGCAGGUGACACACACUGGGCUCUCCAUUGAAGUUUGGGUUCUGUAAAACCCUCUGUACAAAUAAUCAUUGGAGCAAGGACUUGAAUUUGGGUCUCUUAUAUCCCAGGUGAAUGCUCUAACAACCUGCCUAGAGAGUCAUUCUCACUCUGGUGCCGUGACUGUUCAAAUAUUUUAUACAAAAUGGAAAAGCUUCAGCAGGAGAGACUGAGAGCAACCGACCUCGGAAUACUGUAUAGCCCACUGGUGAGGGCAUUCACCUCAGAGGGAAGAGAGAUGCUCCUGAGCAAGGAUUCAAACCUACCUCUCCCACAUCCCAAAUGAGUGUCCUAGCCCCCGGGCUAGUGAAUAUAAGGGGUGACAGCAGUGCCACCACAAACCGAACCAUUUAUUUCCUUUGUUUUUAUUUUUUUCUUAAGGGUUACAAAAUCCCAGAAACAAAAUGUUUCAUUUGAUCCAAAACAAAUUUUUGGUAAGUUUUUAGAUUUGCUGAAAAUUAAAAAAAAAAAAUGGUUUGAACGACUCUCCAAACCCAAACUAGCAAACUGAAAAAUCAAAGUUAUUUGCCCAGCUCAAAUGUUCUCCCCCAGCCUUCCACACUCAGAAAGGGGGGAGCCAUAUCUUGAGCUAACCAGAGCUUUCAAGUGUCAUUAGCAGCUAGUCCCAGUUCUAGUCGAUUGCAAUACCCAAGCACAGUCAUACUCUGGUUAAGUAGCAAAUAGGAAUAUUAUGCAAAAUUUUAUACACUCAUAUGGUACAUACACACACAAUCCAGUAGUGCUUUUACUAAUUCUGUGCAUAUACAAAAGUCAAGCAACUGCCGCUUAUAGAAUACGUGAGUGUCAUAUUUUACUGCCAUUUUCAUGGUGGUCUGUCCUUUUUACAUUGAUUAUCCCUCAUUUUAUGGUAGCAAAAGUCACUUCAAACUUUGAAUCUUCCCUGAGGAAUGUUAACACUUAUUACGAGUACAUGACCCAACCAGUAUUAUUAUAAAACACCUGGAAAAUGGUACAUUGGAGUAUUAUUUAAUAUACUCUAGGGCACUUACAGGGCAUGACUGCAUGUGGAAUUUCAUGCUGACUUGCAAGCUUAUUAUCUCUCUGAAAGUACUAGGUGCUUUAUUGAAGGAUGUGCUGAGACUAAAUUACCUGAUCGAUGCAGAUUUCUGCAAGUCCCUGUUCCCCCAAAUAUUUGAUUUACCCAUGGUAAAUGCAGACUUCUCCAAGAGGCUACUGUGUUUUCAUUUCACUCCUAGAAAUAUGGAAAUUAUUGCUUAGUACUCUGCUCCACAAACUGUUAACCUGACUAAAACAAAGCUCUCCAAUGAAAUGAAAAAUCAUGUAGAUUACAAAAGGGAGAUGAUUCCACUAAUUGGUAUUAAAUGGACAUAGCUUUAACAAGCUAUUCAAUUCAAAUUCACUGGUAAAUCUAUACAGUUACCAUUCAACAAUACAUGAAAACAAAAGCAAAAUAUGUAUAGCAAAUUCAGCAGAACUUAACUUACUACGUAUCACGAGUUAAACAUUUUUCUAUGUACAUAUAAUAUAUGUAUAAAUUAUAAUAUAUAAAUGUAUAUUAUAUGCCUCUCGAAAAGCCUAGAUAUUACAUAGGUAGGUAGACAGAAACUAACAAAAGAGAGACAAUGUAAAUUUUGUUCAACAAUGCUGCGCACAUGCGUUCGCUGAGUAAACACUUUUCUUUCCUCUGUUGUUUUGCAGUCUCCUGUUUUGCUGUGUCUUUUAUUGCAUCAUGUGUGAAAUUAGAUUGCAAUUCUUUGAGGAACAGACCAUUUUUGCAUUACGGACUCAGUUCUGCAAAGUGCUGAGCAUUCUGGCUGGAACUGGGUGGCAAACAAUUGUUAUGUUGCAUGAGAGUUUAAGAUUUCAAACAUUUUCCCUUCCAAAAUCUGGACAAAAAGUCAAAGUUUCGAAAAUUUCUUCAAAAGGAUGAUCCAAAAAAAAAUGGAUUGGAUCAAUUGAAAUAUGUUAUUGUGUUGACUAUUUUAAAAGUCGAAUAAAAUUUUAAUUACAAAUCAAUACAGGGUGAGUUAAAGGCAUUUUUACUCUGAGGGCUAUGAUUUGAUGUGUUUAACCCACAGCGUUAUUUUAAAGUAGAUUUGCAUGUGAGGAAAUAAUGUGCAUGUUACCAAUGAUGCUUUUUAUCAGAGGCAACUAAAUUUUCACCCUACAGGGAAUGUCAGUGUGAAAUUGCCAGACCAGCAGCAAUAACCA